UACGGGGGGGGCAAGCGUUGUUCGGAAUUACUGGGCGUAAAGGGCUCGUAGGCGGCCAACUAAGUCAGACGUGAAAUCCCCAGGCUUAACCUGGGAACUGCGUCUGAUACUGGAUGGCUUGAAUUCGGGAGAGGGAUGCAGAAUUCCAGGUGUAGCGGUGAAAUGCGUAGAUAUCUGAAGGAACAUCAGUGGCGAAAGCGACUUCCUGGACCAAUACUGACGCUCAUGUGCGAAAGCGUGGGGAGCAAACAGG
RNAcentral lists this ribosomal RNA (253 nucleotides) under uncultured bacterium. RNAcentral describes it as "partial 16S ribosomal RNA". It matches the Rfam family "Bacterial small subunit ribosomal RNA", at positions 524 to 776 of the family's 1533-position model. The record is from RNAcentral.